This 232-nucleotide long non-coding RNA is filed under the name Elaeis guineensis (African oil palm). Its description in RNAcentral is "long non-coding RNA (EGUI_LNC046247)". The record is from RNAcentral. Lineage: Eukaryota; Viridiplantae; Streptophyta; Magnoliopsida; Arecales; Arecaceae.
GCAACAAGAAUGACAUCAAUUCACCCGAAUCCAAUACAUAAGGUAUACUCAUGAAAUUCUAAUAAUUGAUAUGAUCUAUCAGUCAAGUAACAUAAAAAACCAAACGAUUACUGCAGUCAAAAAUAGCUAGUGAGGUUAAACGCAUUUGAUCAUGCCUUGGUAGAUAAGAUCAUGAAACCAAAAGAAAUGGAACACUAUCAUGAAAGUAUACUUCUCACCUCAUAUCCGGCAA